RNAcentral lists this ribosomal RNA (253 nucleotides) under uncultured bacterium. RNAcentral's name for it is "partial 16S ribosomal RNA". It matches the Rfam family "Bacterial small subunit ribosomal RNA", at positions 524 to 776 of the family's 1533-position model. The record is from RNAcentral.
UACAGAGGUCCCGAGCGUUGUUCGGAAUUACUGGGCGUAAAGCGCGUGUAGGCGGCCCGGAAAGUCGGAUGUGAAAGCCCUGGGCUUAACCUAGGAAGUGCAUUCGAAGCUGCUGGGCUUGAGUUCUGGAGAGGAAGGCGGAAUUCUCGGUGUAGAGGUGAAAUUCGUAGAUAUCGAGAGGAACACCGGUGGCGAAGGCGGCCUUCUGGACAGUGACUGACGCUGAGACGCGAAAGCGUGGGGAGCAAACAGG